GGUGGCCUGCCAGGCCUGAGUGCUGAGCUGGAGGUGGAGAGUGAGGCCAGGCUUUUUCUGGGUCGGAGAACUGGAGUUUUGCCUGGAUUUUGGAAAGCCUGAUGGAAUCUAUCUAUCACCCAGACUGGAGUGCAGUGGUGCAAUCUCGGCUCACUGCAACCUCCGCCUCCCGAGUUCAAGUGAUCCUCCUGCUUCAGCCUCCUGAGUAGCUGGGAUUACAGGGACGGUGGUGUCUGCUGUUCUGGGAUUGAGAGAGAUGAAGCACAUGAAGCACUUACUCACCUCAGUGACUGGUGUGCGCAGCCACUCCCUGCAG
Long non-coding RNA from Pan troglodytes (chimpanzee), 316 nucleotides. RefSeq lists it as uncharacterized. Lineage: Eukaryota; Metazoa; Chordata; Mammalia; Primates; Hominidae. The record is from RefSeq and is a predicted model, not a curated record. The transcript has 3 exons.